AUUGAACGCUGGCGGCAGGCCUAACACAUGCAAGUCGAACGAGUGGCGGACGGGUGAGCAAGGUCUGGGAAACUGCCUGAUGGAGGGGGAUAAGUACCGGAAACGGUAGCUAAUACCGCAUACCAUCAGAUGUGACAAGAUGGGAAUAGCUUGUUGGUGGGGCAACGGCACACCAAGGCGACGAUCCCUAGCUGGUCUGAGAGGAUGACCAGCCACACUGGAACUUGUACACGGUCCAGACUCCUACGGUAGGCAGCAGUUGGGACUAUUGAACAAUGGGCGCAAGCCUGGUGCAGCCAUGCCGCGUGUAUGAAGAAGGCCUUCGGUUUGUAAAGUACUUUCAGCGGGGAGGCGUUACCCGCAGAAGAAGCACCGGCUAACUCCGUGCCAGCAGCCGCGGUAAUAC
Molecule: ribosomal RNA, 406 nt
Filed under: uncultured bacterium
Lineage: Bacteria
Description: partial 16S ribosomal RNA
Rfam family: Bacterial small subunit ribosomal RNA
Source: RNAcentral